Anthonomus grandis grandis is the source of this 1028-nucleotide RNA transcript. RefSeq lists it as uncharacterized. The record is from RefSeq and is a predicted model, not a curated record. Lineage: Eukaryota; Metazoa; Arthropoda; Insecta; Coleoptera; Curculionidae. The transcript has 3 exons.
AAUCAUGAAUCACCGGGAAUUUACCUAACUGUAGACGAAAUGCUUGUACCGUUUCGAGGAAGGUGUGGAUUUCGGAUGUAUAUUCCGAAAAAACCUGCCAAAUAUGGAAUUAAAGUGCAGGUUUUGGCUGACGCUAAAACGCAUUAUCUCAUAGAUGCAGAGAUUUAUGCCGGUUCCGAAAUAAAAGUUGAUGGUGCAAAAAAGCCUACAUUAUCAAAUCCAACAAGAGUGGUUCUUAGGCUUGUGGAGUGUGUUAAAGGCACCAACAGGAACAUCACCGGGGACAACUGGUACCGUUCAGUGGAACUCGUCGACAAACGUGGACAUUUGACGUACGUGGGAACCUUACGAAAAAAUAAAAAAUCUGUACCACCUGAAUUUUUACCGAACCGAAAAUGUGCAAUUCAUUCAUCAACGUUUGGAUUUACUUCUUCAACCACUAUAGUGAGCUAUGUGCCAAAAAAAAGUAAAAGCGUUAUAUUAUUUUCUAGCAUGCGUCAUGACAAUUCUGUCAACGAAACAACCAAAAAGCCGGAGAUAAUUCCUUUUUCUAAUGAAACAAAAUUUGGAGUUGAGGCAUUAGAUGCAAAAUGUGCGUUGUAUUUAGUGUCCAGAAGAACUAACCGUUGGCCAAUGGCAAUUUUUUUUGCUAUAUUGAACAUUGCAGGUGUAAAUUCUCGAGUAUUGUACCAAUUUGCAUCAAAAGAUGUGCGACUCAGAAUGGCCAACAAGAAAGUGCACUCAAAUGUAUGAAUCAUCAUUGCUGAAUUUUUGGGGGUUUCUGAGCAGCCUCAAGUACCUCCUGAAAAAAGUAAAAGAAAAAGUUGUGCCAUAUGCCCCACCAAUAAGGAUAUGGAAACUGCUAUCCAGUGUGACAUAUUAAAUAUUUACCAGUACUCAAAAAUAUGCCGACCCAAUACAUCCAUGAACCGUGGAUGUCUCCUGAAAACGUUCAAAAAGUGGCCAAAUGUAUAGUAGGAACCGACUAUCCCUUGUCAAUGGUCAACCAUUUAUCUUUUAGUAAAAUU